GUUUGAUCCUGGCUCAGAUUGAACGCUGGCGGCAUGCUUUACACAUGCAAGUCGAACGGCAGCACGGGGGCAACCCUGGUGGCGAGUGGCGAACGGGUGAGUAAUAUAUCGGAACGUACCCGGAAAUGGGGGAUAACGUAGCGAAAGUUACGCUAAUACCGCAUAUGCCCUAAGGGGGAAAGCGGGGGAUUCGCAAGAACCUCGCGUUUUCGGAGCGGCCGAUAUCGGAUUAGCUAGUAGGUGAGGUAAAGGCUCACCUAGGCGACGAUCCGUAGCUGGUCUGAGAGGACGACCAGCCACACUGGAACUGAGACACGGUCCAGACUCCUACGGGAGGCAGGCAGGUGGGGAAUUUUGGACAAUGGGCGCAAGCCUGAUCCAGCCAUGCCGCGUGAGUGAAG
This 401-nucleotide ribosomal RNA is filed under the name uncultured bacterium. RNAcentral describes it as "bacterial SSU rRNA". It matches the Rfam family "Bacterial small subunit ribosomal RNA", at positions 11 to 410 of the family's 1533-position model. The record is from RNAcentral.